ACCUACGGGGGGCAGCAGCGAGGAAUAUUGCGCAAUGGGCGCAAGCCUGACGCAGUAACGCCGCGUGCGGGAAGAAGGCCUUCGGGUCGUAAACCGCUUUUCGGAGGGACGAGGAAGGACGGUACCUCUGGAAUAAGUCUCGGCUAACUACGUGCCAGCAGCCGCGGUAAGACGUAGGAGGCGAGCGUUAUCCGGAUUCACUGGGCGUAAAGCGCGUGUAGGCGGUUCGGCAAGUCGGUUGUGAAAGCCCCUGGCUCAACUGGGGGAGGUCAGCCGAAACUGCGGGACUGGAGGGUCAGAGAGGAAGGUGGAAUUCCCGGUGUAGCGGUGGAAUGCGUAGAGAUCGGGAGGAACACCAGUGGCGAAAGCGGCCUUCUGGCUGACCACUGACGCUGAGACGCGAAAGCGUGGGUAGCAAACGGGAUUAGAUACCCCGGUAGA
This 441-nucleotide ribosomal RNA is filed under the name uncultured bacterium. Its description in RNAcentral is "bacterial SSU rRNA". It matches the Rfam family "Bacterial small subunit ribosomal RNA", at positions 337 to 794 of the family's 1533-position model. The record is from RNAcentral.